UAAGUCGAGCACGUGGGAGUCUGUCGAUUUGCAUCUCCGCUGGAGGUCUUCUCCCUGUCGUAAAGAAGCAGACUGCAGAGAAGUUGUCGGUGGAUGCGGGGCUCAGUCUCCAUAUCGUGGGACCCAGGGACACAAUUGGAAACACUGGUUAUAUUGCCAACACCUUGGCUGGAAUGCCAUUUGAGACUCAGAUAUGACCACAUAGCUUUAAGGACUUUAAGGAACGAAGGUUGACAUUAUGGAGCCAAUAAAGCCCUUUGGAAAAACUACCUGAUACCUAGCUUACAAGGCUUCCCAGCAGCCUUACCAGCAAAAUCUUCAAUUACGAUUCUGACAUGAGCCUCCUCAUCACCCCGAAAUCUGAAGAAUUCAAUGGACUGACUGUUUGUCAUCUGGUUGAACCCUACUGAGAGAAAAACUCGCCUGUGAGGCUGCAGAUGCCAUUGCCAGCCUAGCCCACACUCAUCAAAGAUUCUACAAGUCAAAUUCAAAUGGCAUACUGGAAAAGUUUUUCUGUGCUUCAUGAUGGCUGGAAUCUCAGCUAGGAAAACUUGACUGCUGGGAACUGAAAUCAAGUGAAGGCGUCUUUAUUGACACAAUUCGCAGUCAAGGCUGGAUGUUGGUUGGGACAUCAGCUAGACCUUUUGACCAGGCACCUACUUGUGGUCUAUCCAUGUGCCUGGGCUUCCCCAGGGUAAUCAGGAUUUUUCCAUGGUAACUCAGUGUUCCAAGAGGGAGUAUCUCAGCAUACAAGGCAGAAACUGCAGUGCCUUUCAUGACCUAGCCUUGGAAGUCACAAGGCAUCAUUCCACCAUAUUCUGUGGCCAAAGUAAUCACAAGCCACGGAGAGGACAUGAGCCGCACCUCUUGAUGUCAGAGAAGCUGGUCACAUUGUAAAAGGACAUAGGAGAUGGGAGAUAUUAUUGCAGUCCUCUCUGGAAACUCACAGAAACUAUGAAAAGCAUUUUACAUAAUUAUGUAAUUUAAUUAUCAUAGUAUCCCAAGUUAGAUAGUCAAUAUUAUCUGAAAUUUAAAGUAAAAGAAAACUGAACAAUGGGAAGUUCAGUGAUUUGCUCAAGAUCACAUUGUGGGCAUCUGGUGUUCCUGAGAGCCAGGUGAAUAAAACUAAUUCCAGAGUUCAUGCUCUAACUGAUACAUCUUCCUCAUGGCCAGGGGAGUCUCAAUAAAUCAAGUGAUGUGGGACUGGGGCAAUAACUCAAAAAUCAAAGGGACUAGAAAGGGGAGAUGAGUAGGAAAAGAAAAAGAAAAUCAGUAGGGGCUAUGGUACAGUGAUGGUACCUGGUCAAUGUUCAAUUAUUAUUUAGUGAUUUGAUAUGUUUUACUUAACAGGAUAUGGAAACAACAUAAAUAAUCCAAUUCCUCCAAUUCCUCCUAAGUUAACACAAACCAAAUAUUUAAAAUUUAAUUAAAAAAUCAAGCACCAUCAAAGUUCCAUACUAUCCAUUUCAUUCCAUUAUAUUUUAAACAUGAUAAAGAAAGAAUCUAAUUGUUUGAAUGUUUUCAAUAUUUUCAUCUUUAAAUGUUUAGUAGAUGUAACCCAAUGCCAAAUUUGGCUUGAUUUUAUCCUAAUGACU
Molecule: long non-coding RNA, 1595 nt
Organism: Mustela erminea (ermine)
Lineage: Eukaryota; Metazoa; Chordata; Mammalia; Carnivora; Mustelidae
Exons: 4
Source: RefSeq, a predicted model, not a curated record